UCUACAUCGACACCCGUUCACACGGAUGAUUAUCAUAAACAUAAUAAAAUAGAACACUAAGAGAAAAAUCUAGGGUGCGAAAGCAUGUAGCUUGCAAGUCUCCAUUGAUACACAUUUCAAAACCAGUUGAAAUAAAACGUGAGGAUAGUCACUAUCCAUGGGAGGAGGCCGGGAAAGGGAUUGCUGGUAACCGGAAGUGAGGGGUCAGGGCAGGUCAUUUUGACCCCUUACCUUGAGCAGAAGGCAACCGAGCAACACAGGAAGAACGGCCUCGCCCUCCUUCUCGCCUAAAACCUGUCUAAGGGUUACAGAAAUCUGCACUAUAACGUUUCACUUCUCCUCUAUCAGGGUAAGGAAAAGAACUCUUACCUGCCUAACAAACCUUACUAGUCAGCCCUUAGCCCGGUCGCUAGUCACUUCCCCACAAGUAACCAGCCCUAGGGGCCUACUCUCCUACUACUGGUUCUGGCACCGUCCCUGGUAGGCGAGGCGGAGCUGGAGCGAGGCCGUCCCUGCUGACCGGGGAGAUGCGGCCGCUCCAAGAGCGGGGAACUCACCCAGGAGGCUGGUCCAGGGGCCGCAGGGCCGCGCACGCCUCCCCGCGGGGUCCCCGGGGCUCACGUGACGCCGGAAGUGGCCGCCGCUGCGCAUGCGCCCGGGGGGGGGGUCUCAGCGGCACGUGCGCACACCGGCUGCGCCCUGAAGAUGACUGCCGCGUGGGGUCUGAGGGCGCGGUGUCCAGUGUGAGGCGGCGGAGGGGGUAAGGACGCCCCCCGCCCCCUGUGCAGGGUUCCAGACCCCGGGUCAGCCAGUCGCAUGCCCUCCAGGAACUCCGCCAGCUCUCCAGCCCCCGGGCCCCCUGCUCCUCAUGCCCCGGGGCUGAGCCGGGGGUCCCUGGCUUGUUGGGCGGCGACCGGGCUGCGGCAGAGGCGGCCGUCCGGGCAGCCGUCCGGGCAGCCGUGGAGGCUCACGAGGGACGAAACAGGGUCACGAGAACGAUUCCAAAAUCUCCAUCUCACUUAUUAUCCCAUUUCUUCACUUGGCAUCCACAAAUACAACCCCUCACCCUCUGGGAGAGCCUGUGUGUAGAAGAGUAGUCUGCAGUGGAACAAUUAAUUCUGGGCUAGAACAAACAUUUCAGAAGAGAAGAGCCCUUCCGUAUGCUUCUCAAAUCAGACCCUUGGCACACAGCUAAUUCUUCAACCUGUGACUAAGGUACAGUCUGGUCAUUUUUGUCCUAAAAACUGCUGGGUCCCACAAAACCACUGGGCAGGGAAAAUUUAAAAGCAUUGUCCUUACCUUUGCAUGCUGUGAUUUCAGAAAUCAGUUAGUUUUUGCUGAGAAGUGGUGCCAAAAAUUAGUGGUUUAAAACAAGCAUUCAUUAUUUUUCAUGAUACUGUGGGUAGACUGGAUGACACCUGGACUGAAUCAGCUUGGCCGGAAUGAAUGGUCUAGGAUAGCUUCCCUCCCAGUUGGCAGGCUGGUUGGGCUACCAAGCCUCAGUUAGGUUGCCUUGACUCUGCUCCACAUGGUCUCUCAUCCUUGAAAACUUGCUGUGCUUCUGCACGUGGCAGUCUCCAAGUUCCCAAAAGCAGCAAGAAGUAGAUGUGUAAGUCCUUUCCAACUUUUUAUGGCCAGAGGAAGUUGUUCAAAGAAAAUCCAGUCCAGACUCAGUGUGGGAGGGUACUACCAAUGGGCAGAGAUGGGGGAAGAGAAUAAUUUAUAUCAAAUAUUUAUACCAGUAGCAAAAUAGAUAAUAUUUGUUGAUUUAAGAUUUUAGUAGGGUUGGUGGUGUAUUGAAGAAAAAUCCAAUCACCAGCCCAAAGUGUUCUGUACAUAGUUCCUAUUGGGCAUGUUGAUGUUACAUCAUCAAUUUCAGUUUAAUUCAGUCAAUUCACUGAUAUUCUCUCUCUGCUCUGAUACACAUAAGAUUAAAUAUGUUCAUGGUUCUCAGUGCACCUGAAAUUUAGUUGGGAUAAGUUUAAAAAGUUAAAAAACUUCACAAAGCAUUAAUUAUGAACCCAGCCAAAAAGAAGAGACAAAGGAUUCUAAAAGAACCAAUGGGAAGGGAGUUUAUAAGCAGUAAAGCACAGGGAUAGGGAUAGGAAUAGUCAAGUAAACAAAUGGCACUUGAGGUAGAACUUAAGGAAUAAGAAAUUUUCUAGAGAAAAGAGAAAUUGAGGACUUUUCUAGUGGAAGGAACCAAAAAGUAAAAGUUGUGGAAGUAGGAACAAUGCUGUCAUGACCUGGAGAUUUAUAAUAAACUGCUCUGACAUGCACUGAAAAGGUGAAUGGGAGCAAAAAGUAUUCUGUGGAUUACUGAAUUCCCUGUUCUUGCUGAUAUCACCUAGACUAGAGUUGAUGCUGUAGACCAGAACUCCUACUACUCUUCCUUAGAUUUUUGUUCAACUCUUUUAACCCCAGCAUUAAAAAUCUAAGCAGCUUGAAGUCGUGGGUAGUAACAGAGCUGCUUAAUUUACUUUACUUCUAAUUAGGUGAUAUUUAGCAGAAUCUAGGAUACACGAAUCCUUUGCUACUUAUCUCACAGAGUGCCAGAUUGUGUGAUAAUAUAUGCAGAGGAGAUGUUCUACGCAAAUCAUAUUUUAUAUUGCUUUGAGACUUCUGCUCCCACAUUCUGUACCAGGGUAUCCCUCCGUACAACCGCUCCUGCUAUUGAUUGGCUGCUCUUUCGAAGAUGUCCAUCUUAGCGACAAAAAAGAUACCAUGAGGGUCAAUAUCAAGGAGAAUAAAACAUAUAUGGUUACUCUACAGGGCUUCUUAAGGCAGGACUAUGAUCAGUGAUGUUGGCACUUAAACUGGACUCAUAAAAAAAGGGCAGAAACUAUGACAUGCCUACGACAGACAUCAUCAUGGAAGAGAACUUCAAAGUUGAGGUGUAACACCUUAAAAUGCUGUAGAUAGUAAAAGAUAAUGAGGAAUGAAAAUGUCUUAGACUUGAUGAUUAGGAGAACAGCAUGAAUUUCUCAUGACUUUGCUUCUGCUAGACAAGGAAGAUUUUAUGGAAUAGUGAGAAUGAAGUAUAUAAAAUUGUUAGUGUAUCCUUAGGAAUAGGUGAGAACAUCAUUGAUUAGGGAAUAGCAUCAGAGAAAAUCCUUAGAAAGGGAUUAGAAAGGCUGAAUAGAUGGAGAAGAUGAAGGAGGUGGUAGAGAAGGUAGUUAAUUCAAAUCUUACAAUCAAGUUAAUAUUAGUAACUAUUUAGUGAAGAACUAGGAUAUUUGGAUAUGGAGAAACGCCAACAAUUAAUAAAAUUUACUGCAUUUAAAAAUGUAAGAAACUGAGCCAAAUUGACUAAAUAAGUUAAACAUUUUAUAAAAUGUUACUUUCUGAUAUAGGUGUUUCUUUCAUGCCACUGUCUUCAUAGCUAAUGAUUCUAAUUGAAUGAGUAUUUAGAGACAAACUUCAUUUAAAGCAUUUCUAGUCUGUUGUUCAUUAUUCUUAUCCAGCUUUUGUAAGAUACACCUUAAAUUACUAAAUUAUAGUAAUUUGAAACUAUCAGCCUCCUUCCUGUCAUGGAAGUAAUUUAAAAUCCUAGAAUUUGAUGGCAUCAUCACAUCAGUCCCUCUUUUUGGAGGUAUACAAUUUACACUGUCCAGAGGAACAAGUUUCUAAAACAGUAUUCAGAGUAUUCUCAUUUUCCCACCUCUGAAGCUAAAAAAUAAAGCUUUAUCAUCCACACUAUCUGGAAUUACACAAUAUAUUUUUUUAAAUUAAAACUAUCAAACCUUCUCAAUUUAUCCUUAACAUCCUUUGAAGAAAAACAAAGUAGUUAUAUUUGACAAUAAUUUACUGGGCUUUAUUCUCCUUCCCUAGCCCAGAAACAUUCAAAAUAACUCAAUUAAAAAUAUAUAUAUAUAUGCAAUCGUCAAGAUAAAGAGGAAAAUUUUAUUUUUCUUAGCUUCUUUUGUAUUUUCUCAUUUAUUCAUAGAAUGAAUGAUUGGACAUCCCAUUGACUUAAACUAUGUUCUCCUGAAAACUACCUUUCUUUUGGAUAUUUCAAAUCCAGUCUAUAUGAAAAUUAAUUUUAAGGCUAUAGCAAAUGGCCAACACAUGGACAUCACAGAAAGACCCUAAAGUGUAGAGAUCAAGGUUAGGGCAAGGCUUAUUCAGGUUACAUAUGGUAACUGAGCAAAUUGGGUGUUCAG
This 4163-nucleotide long non-coding RNA is filed under the name Canis lupus familiaris (dog). Its description in RNAcentral is "lncRNA (ENSCAFG00030003872.1)". The record is from RNAcentral. Lineage: Eukaryota; Metazoa; Chordata; Mammalia; Carnivora; Canidae.